UGAGGAAUAUUGGUCAAUGGGCGAGAGCCUGAACCAGCCAAGUAGCGUGAAGGAUGACUGCCCUAUGGGUUGUAAACUUCUUUUAUAAAGGAAUAAAGUCGGGUAUGGAUACCCGUUUGCAUGUACUUUAUGAAUAAGGAUCGGCUAACUCCGUGCCAGCAGCCGCGGUAAUACGGAGGAUCCGAGCGUUAUCCGGAUUUAUUGGGUUUAAAGGGAGCGUAGAUGGAUGUUUAAGUCAGUUGUGAAAGUUUGCGGCUCAACCGUAAAAUUGCAGUUGAUACUGGAUAUCUUGAGUGCAGUUGAGGCAGGCGGAAUUCGUGGUGUAGCGGUGAAAUGCUUAGAUAUCACGAAGAACUCCGAUUGCGAAGGCAGCCUGCUAAGCUGCAACUGACAUUGAGGCUCGAAAGUGUGGGUAUCAAACAGGAUUAGAUACCCUGGUAGUCCACACGGUAAACGAUGAAUACCCGCUGUUUGCGAUAUACUGCAAGCGGCCAAGCGAAAGCGUUAAGUAUUCCACCUGGGGAGUACGCCGGCAACGGUGAAACUCAAAGGAAUUGACGGGGGCCCGCACAAGCGGAGGAACAUGUGGUUUAAUUCGAUGAUACGCGAGGAACCUUACCCGGGCUUAAAUUGCAGAUGAAUUACGGUGAAAGCCGUAAGCCGCAAGGCAUCUGUGAAGGUGCUGCAUGGUUGUCGUCAGCUCGUGCCGUGAGGUGUCGGCUUAAGUGCCAUAACGAGCGCAACCCUUGUUGUCAGUUACUAACAGGUUCCGCUGAGGACUCUGACAAGACUGCCAUCGUAAGAUGUGAGGAAGGUGGGGAUGACGUCAAAUCAGCACGGCCCUUACGUCCGGGGCUACACACGUGUUACAAUGGGGGGUACAGAGGGCCGCUACCACGCGAGUGGAUGCCAAUCCCCAAAACCUCUCUCAGUUCGGACUGGAGUCUGCAACCCGACUCCACGAAGCUGGAUUCGCUAGUAAUCGCGCAUCAGCCACGGCGCGGUGAAUACGUUCCC
RNAcentral lists this ribosomal RNA (1017 nucleotides) under uncultured bacterium. Its description in RNAcentral is "bacterial SSU rRNA". It matches the Rfam family "Bacterial small subunit ribosomal RNA", at positions 355 to 1375 of the family's 1533-position model. The record is from RNAcentral.